CCCAGCAGCAUACCACCCUGCACCCCACUGCUGGCUUGCCUCUGAAGCUAAGCAGGGUUGGUUCUGGUUGGUCCUUGGAUAGGAGGCCAGAUGCUGUUGGAA
Molecule: ribosomal RNA, 102 nt
Filed under: Hucho hucho (huchen)
Lineage: Eukaryota; Metazoa; Chordata; Actinopteri; Salmoniformes; Salmonidae
Source: RNAcentral